GCGCUCGCCCUCGAUUUCAUCGAACGACGGCGGGGGAAGGCACGACGCUCUCCUACGUCGCGGCCUACGGGCAGGACGGGGAGGCGGGCGUGGCGGCGUUCGAUCGCGGGACGAGCGCGCUGAGACCCUGGACGCCGCCGUGCUGGUCUCCGGGUUCCUCCUCGGCGUGGUCUGCAUCUUCCCCGCCAAGAUCUUUGGUGGAGUUCCUCCCCAGUUUUUCCUCGGUCAGCGGCGACUCGCGGCGGAACGAGGGCUCCCAAGACGGCGGCUCACGCGUUGCGGAGGAGCUGGGUCGAAGUCGCUGCAGCGGGGAGACGCCGUCCUCCUCGGCCGUCCUACCUCCGGCGACCUCACCAUCUUGAACGGAUCUGCAGGCUGACCAUAAAUUAUGGUACUGCUGCUUUGUGAAAGUAUUUUCUGUUGAUUUAGCCUCUCUGGUUCAGAUAAAGGAAGGUACAUCAUAUGAGAUAGUUUGCAUUGCGCAUUGGUUGAGGAGUGCCUGGCAGUUGGCGAGAGAAGAGGAUCAAAAGAACGAAAGGAGGCAAGAUUAUUUUAUGGUUGUGGAACCAGUCUCCCGGAUUCUAUUUUAUUUGCAUUACGUAUUGGUUGAGGAGUGCCUGGCAGUUGGCGAGAGAAGAGGAUCAAAAGAACGAGAGGAGGCAAGAUUAUUUUAUGGUUGUGGAACCAGUCUCCCGGAUUCUAUUGUACAUGCAGAUGCAGAUUUGGUUUGAUGUUGAGAUUUGGCUGGGUCUCGAUUCAAUUUUGGCCAGGUGGUGCGCUGAAUACUCCUGCUAAUUCUAAUGGUAUUGGGAAAUGCGGCAAAACUUAUAUGAGCUGGAUUUCACUGUUGUUGCCGUGAGGGAAACACAAUGGAGGUAUGUGUGCCAGCCAAUCGUACAGGUCAGUUCAAAGAACUUCUGAAGAAAGGCUAUGUGUGUACCAGUCAAUCGUACAGGAUACAUCUCGCAUGGGUGAGAUCAGAAGGUCUAGGUCAUUGUUUGGCAAUGUAUCUGUGGCUUACGCUGAAAACUUCCUCUCAUAAUGAUGGUUGCUGUGUGACCUUAUCAGUGGUUUAUGUUGGAAGCGAGCAUGUUUUUUGAUAACUUCUUCUACGCUGGUGACUGUUGGCUGAAGUUAUUCCAGUGCGAGAACUGAGCUAUACUUCAAGUGUAUCUCUGCUGUAAUCAUUAGCAUCAGACCCAUGCUAUGUACGGAAACUGUGUCAACAUCAUAUUAUUUCCAGGGAGGGUUGCAGGUAAUUAUUCUUCAAAACUAUUUGAUUUCCAUUGAGUAGUCAAAAUCUUCUCUCUUUAUUUAGUCAAAGGAGGCUGAAUAGAAAGCUCCAUCAUUAUUUAUCGUGUGCCCUUUUGUUCCCCGAGAAAAGGAAAGCAUAGCUGAUCAUUCGUA
Molecule: non-coding RNA, 1407 nt
Organism: Lolium perenne
Lineage: Eukaryota; Viridiplantae; Streptophyta; Magnoliopsida; Poales; Poaceae
Source: RefSeq, a predicted model, not a curated record